AACGAACGCUGGCGGCGUGGAUAAGGCAUGCAAGUCGAGCGCGAAAGUCCCCUUCGGGGGAUGAGUAGAGCGGCAAACGGGUGAGUAACACGUGAGUAACCUGUCCUUGGGUGGGGGAUAACCCCGGGAAACCGGGGCUAAUACCGCAUGAUGUUGUUCCCACACAAGUGAGAAUAACCGAAAGGGGGGGACCUUCGGGCCUCCCGCCUGAGGAGGGGCUCGCGCCUGAUUAGCUAGUUGGUGGGGUAACGGCUCACCAAGGCGAUGAUCAGUAGCCGGUCUGAGAGGAUGGCUGGCCACACUGGGAUUGAGAUACGGCCCAGACUCCUACGGGAGCAGCAGUCUAGAAGCUUCGGCAAUGGGCGAAAGCCUGACCGAGCGACGCCGCGUGCAGGACGAAGGUCUUCGGAUUGUAAACUGCUUUCGACGGGGAUGAAAGGUAAGAGGGCGAACUACCCCCUUAUUUGACAGUACCCGCAGAAGAAGCCCUGGCCUAACUCCGUGCCAGCAGCCGACGGUAAAAGUGU
RNAcentral lists this ribosomal RNA (527 nucleotides) under uncultured bacterium. RNAcentral describes it as "bacterial SSU rRNA". It matches the Rfam family "Bacterial small subunit ribosomal RNA", at positions 29 to 528 of the family's 1533-position model. The record is from RNAcentral.